AACAGCUUUGGGAUGUCUAGUUCCAUUUGGACAGAAUUCUAGAAGAGGAAAAUAAAAGGCUACAAAGUAAGGAAGUCAAACCUGCCUUCGGGGAAGAUAAACAUGCUGACUGGAUGCAUUUGGCUUCUUUUUGGGAGUGAAAGGUUUCAGCAACCUGGAGCCCCCACAGCUGUGGAGACCCUGCUUCUAUGAACUUCCCCUCUCCACGACGCUGCACAACAGCUUCGUACACCCAGCCGAUUUUGCAGACAGCAAGCACAACAACUUAACUAGAGCCUGGGAGGAUAAUCUCAGAAUGAAUUAUUCACCAGUGAGACAAUUGUGGCUGCACAGAGGGAAUACAGAUGCCCCUGUGGGGCUACAUCUCACCAACUUCCUUAUUCAGUUUUAAUGCGCUUUCCAGCCCUCGAAUCACAGACACCCCACACUCAGCCUUCCGUGCUGCACUCACUGAUCUACUAGUUACGAAGCAUUGCACAUUGCAUCACUCACUCAUCUACAGUUCACGGAAUACCUGCAAUCUUCUCACCAGGACACCUGGCUAUGCCCCGUCAGUGGGGGAGUAGCUUAGCACAAUGACUGAAUGCAGAGACUCUGGAACUGGACUGCUGGAAUUUGAUCCCAGGUCUCAGAUUUAAAACUCGAUUUCCGCCCCCCUCAAAAUCUGUGCAUUUAGAUACCAUCUGUCACGUGACACGUGGAGGGCAAAUGAUAGAAAACCUCAAAGGGGAUAUUUCCCUGCACGUGAUCAUGCACAGAAAACAGCUUUCCUUUUUCUUCUUCUCUUCUCAGUCUUCCUGAGAAUGCUAGCAACAGCACACUCUUCAUGUUCCCAAACACCCUAUUUCCUCCACCCCAGAGGUGCUCACUGGGGCUCAUCUAUUCACCUCACGUGCAAGAUGAAGAGGGCAAUUUUAUGUAGUAAAGAUAUAUGGGACAAGCCAACCUCAAGUUCACGUCCGUUAAAGCAUUUCUCUGUUGGCAACAUUUUUACAAGCCUCUCACAGCUAUAUGCUUAAUUAAAAUAAAAGGGUGAUAUACA
Molecule: long non-coding RNA, 1042 nt
Organism: Felis catus (domestic cat)
Lineage: Eukaryota; Metazoa; Chordata; Mammalia; Carnivora; Felidae
Exons: 2
Source: RefSeq, a predicted model, not a curated record